Unclassified non-coding RNA from Callithrix jacchus (white-tufted-ear marmoset), 289 nucleotides. It matches the Rfam family "Metazoan signal recognition particle RNA". From Rfam's summary of the family: The signal recognition particle (SRP) is a universally conserved ribonucleoprotein. The record is from Ensembl. NCBI's taxonomy places the organism in Eukaryota, Metazoa, Chordata, Mammalia, Primates, Cebidae.
GCUGGGCACAGUGGUGUGCGCCUGUAGUUCCAGCUACUCGGGAGGCUGAGGCUGUAGGAUGGCUUGAGUCCAGGAGUUCUGGCCUGUAGUGCACUAUGCCGAUCAGGUGUUCAGCAUCAAUAUGGUGAACUCCUGGGAGCGGGGGACCACCAGGUUGCCUAAGGAGGGGGUGAACCAGCCCAGGAUGAAAACGGAGCAAGUCAGAACUCCCGUGCUGAUCUGUAGUGGGAUUGUGCUGUGAAUAGCCACUGCACUGCAGCCUGGGCAACGUAGCAAGACCCCGUCUGUA